GGGUUGUGAGGUUAAGCGACUAAGCGUACACGGUGGAUGCCCUGGCAGUCAGAGGCGAUGAAGGACGUGCUAAUCUGCGAUAAGCGUCGGUAAGGUGAUAUGAACCGUUAUAACCGGCGAUUUCCGAAUGGGGAAACCCAGUGUGUUUCGACACACUAUCAUUAACUGAAUCCAUAGGUUAAUGAGGCGAACCGGGGGAACUGAAACAUCUAAGUACCCCGAGGAAAAGAAAUCAACCGAGAUUCCCCCAGUAGCGGCGAGCGAACGGGGAGCAGCCCAGAGCCUGAAUCAGUGUGUGUGUUAGUGGAAGCGUCUGGAAAGGCGCGCGAUACAGGGUGACAGCCCCGUACACAAAAAUGCACAUACUGUGAGCUCGAUGAGUAGGGCGGGACACGUGGUAUCCUGUCUGAAUAUGGGGGGACCAUCCUCCAAGGCUAAAUACUCCUGACUGACCGAUAGUGAACCAGUACCGUGAGGGAAAGGCGAAAAGAACCCCGGCGAGGGGAGUGAAAAAGAACCUGAAACCGUGUACGUACAAGCAGUGGGAGCCUCUUUUAUGGGGUGACUGCGUACCUUUUGUAUAAUGGGUCAGCGACUUAUAUUCUGUAGCAAGGUUAACCGAAUAGGGGAGCCGAAGGGAAACCGAGUCUUAACUGGGCGUUAAGUUGCAGGGUAUAGACCCGAAACCCGGUGAUCUAGCCAUGGGCAGGUUGAAGGUUGGGUAACACUAACUGGAGGACCGAACCGACUAAUGUUGAAAAAUUAGCGGAUGACUUGUGGCUGGGGGUGAAAGGCCAAUCAAACCGGGAGAUAGCUGGUUCUCCCCGAAAGCUAUUUAGGUAGCGCCUCGUGAAUUCAUCUCCGGGGGUAGAGCACUGUUUCGGCAAGGGGGUCAUCCCGACUUACCAACCCGAUGCAAACUGCGAAUACCGGAGAAUGUUAUCACGGGAGACACACGGCGGGUGCUAACGUCCGUCGUGAAGAGGGAAACAACCCAGACCGCCAGCUAAGGUCCCAAAGUCAUGGUUAAGUGGGAAACGAUGUGGGAAGGCCCAGACAGCCAGGAUGUUGGCUUAGAAGCAGCCAUCAUUUAAAGAAAGCGUAAUAGCUCACUGGUCGAGUCGGCCUGCGCGGAAGAUGUAACGGGGCUAAACCAUGCACCGAAGCUGCGGCAGCGACGCUUAUGCGUUGUUGGGUAGGGGAGCGUUCUGUAAGCCUGUGAAGGUGUGCUGUGAGGCAUGCUGGAGGUAUCAGAAGUGCGAAUGCUGACAUAAGUAACGAUAAAGCGGGUGAAAAGCCCGCUCGCCGGAAGACCAAGGGUUCCUGUCCAACGUUAAUCGGGGCAGGGUGAGUCGACCCCUAAGGCGAGGCCGAAAGGCGUAGUCGAUGGGAAACAGGUUAAUAUUCCUGUACUUGGUGUUACUGCGAAGGGGGGACGGAGAAGGCUAUGUUGGCCGGGCGACGGUUGUCCCGGUUUAAGCGUGUAGGCUGGUUUUCCAGGCAAAUCCGGAAAAUCAAGGCUGAGGCGUGAUGACGAGGCACUACGGUGCUGAAGCAACAAAUGCCCUGCUUCCAGGAAAAGCCUCUAAGCAUCAGGUAACAUCAAAUCGUACCCCAAACCGACACAGGUGGUCAGGUAGAGAAUACCAAGGCGCUUGAGAGAACUCGGGUGAAGGAACUAGGCAAAAUGGUGCCGUAACUUCGGGAGAAGGCACGCUGAUAUGUAGGUGAAGUGAUUUACUCAUGGAGCUGAAAUCAGUCGAAGAUACCAGCUGGCUGCAACUGUUUAUUAAAAACACAGCACUGUGCAAACACGAAAGUGGACGUAUACGGUGUGACGCCUGCCCGGUGCCGGAAGGUUAAUUGAUGGGGUCAGCGCAAGCGAAGCUCUUGAUCGAAGCCCCGGUAAACGGCGGCCGUAACUAUAACGGUCCUAAGGUAGCGAAAUUCCUUGUCGGGUAAGUUCCGACCUGCACGAAUGGCGUAAUGAUGGCCAGGCUGUCUCCACCCGAGACUCAGUGAAAUUGAACUCGCUGUGAAGAUGCAGUGUACCCGCGGCAAGACGGAAAGACCCCGUGAACCUUUACUAUAGCUUGACACUGAACAUUGAGCCUUGAUGUGUAGGAUAGGUGGGAGGCUUUGAAGUGUGGACGCCAGUCUGCAUGGAGCCGACCUUGAAAUACCACCCUUUAAUGUUUGAUGUUCUAACGUUGACCCGUAAUCCGGGUUGCGGACAGUGUCUGGUGGGUAGUUUGACUGGGGCGGUCUCCUCCUAAAGAGUAACGGAGGAGCACGAAGGUUGGCUAAUCCUGGUCGGACAUCAGGAGGUUAGUGCAAUGGCAUAAGCCAGCUUGACUGCGAGCGUGACGGCGCGAGCAGGUGCGAAAGCAGGUCAUAGUGAUCCGGUGGUUCUGAAUGGAAGGGCCAUCGCUCAACGGAUAAAAGGUACUCCGGGGAUAACAGGCUGAUACCGCCCAAGAGUUCAUAUCGACGGCGGUGUUUGGCACCUCGAUGUCGGCUCAUCACAUCCUGGGGCUGAAGUAGGUCCCAAGGGUAUGGCUGUUCGCCAUUUAAAGUGGUACGCGAGCUGGGUUUAGAACGUCGUGAGACAGUUCGGUCCCUAUCUGCCGUGGGCGCUGGAGAACUGAGGGGGGCUGCUCCUAGUACGAGAGGACCGGAGUGGACGCAUCACUGGUGUUCGGGUUGUCAUGCCAAUGGCACUGCCCGGUAGCUAAAUGCGGAAGAGAUAAGUGCUGAAAGCAUCUAAGCACGAAACUUGCCCCGAGAUGAGUUCUCCCUGACCCUUUAAGGGUCCUGAAGGAACGUUGAAGACGACGACGUUGAUAGGCCGGGUGUGUAAGCGCAGCGAUGCGUUGAGCUAACCGGUACUAAUGAACCGUGAGGCUUAACCUUACAACGCCGAAGCUGUU
Molecule: ribosomal RNA, 2930 nt
Filed under: Escherichia coli
Lineage: Bacteria; Pseudomonadati; Pseudomonadota; Gammaproteobacteria; Enterobacterales; Enterobacteriaceae
Description: 23S ribosomal RNA
Rfam family: Bacterial large subunit ribosomal RNA
Source: RNAcentral